Micropterus salmoides (largemouth bass) is the source of this 228-nucleotide long non-coding RNA. RefSeq lists it as uncharacterized. The transcript is spliced from 3 exons. The record is from RefSeq and is a predicted model, not a curated record. NCBI's taxonomy places the organism in Eukaryota, Metazoa, Chordata, Actinopteri, Centrarchiformes, Centrarchidae.
CUGAAAACACAAAAUCAGUUACAGCCACAACAACAACAACCAAUGAUGCUUCAACAAAACUACAAGCUCGUGCAGAUUGUUCUGCUCUGGACUACAUAAUGUUGGUUAUGCGUGUGGCUGAACUCCUCCUAAUUACUGUGAUUACUGUUCUUCUCAUCAGAGCUCGAGAGACUACCUGACAACAACACAGUGACCUACAGCAGCGUGAAAGCUUCCUCUUCUUCUGCU